GAUAGCUCAAUCAGUAGAGCAUAAGACAGAAUCUAAGGGUUGUGGGUUCAAGCCCCACAAGCCCCU
Molecule: non-coding RNA, 66 nt
Organism: Podarcis lilfordi (Lilford's wall lizard)
Lineage: Eukaryota; Metazoa; Chordata; Lepidosauria; Squamata; Lacertidae
Source: the annotation of a GenBank genome assembly